CGCCUGCCCAGUGAUAAUUAUUUAACGGCCGCGGUAUUUUGACCGUGCAAAGGUAGCGCAAUCACUUGUCUUUUAAAUGAAGACCUGUAUGAAUGGCUUAACGAGGGCUUAACUGUCUCCUUUUUCCAGUCAAUGAAAUUGAUCUUCCCGUGCAGAAGCGGGAAUAUAACCAUAAGACGAGAAGACCCUAUGGAGCUUCAAACUAAAACAGAUCUUGUUAAACGCAUCUAAUUAAAGAAAUAAACUUAAAAGAACCCUGUCAUUUAUGUUUUUGGUUGGGGCGACCAUGGGGAAACAAACAACCCCCAUGUGGACUGAGAAAACAGUUCUCACAACAAAGAGCCACAGCUCUAAUUAACAGAACUUCUGACCUUGAGAUCCGGCAAUGCCGAUCAACGGACCCAGUUACCCUAGGGAUAACAGCGCAAUCCCCUUUUAGAGUUCAUAUCGACAAGGGGGUUUACGACCUCGAUGUUGGAUCAGGACAUCCUAAUGGUGCAGCAGCUAUUAAGGGUUCGUUUGUUCAACGAUUAAAGUCCU
Molecule: ribosomal RNA, 540 nt
Filed under: Betta stiktos
Lineage: Eukaryota; Metazoa; Chordata; Actinopteri; Anabantiformes; Osphronemidae
Description: partial 16S ribosomal RNA
Rfam family: Bacterial large subunit ribosomal RNA
Source: RNAcentral